CGCGGGAUGGAGCAGUUUGGUAGCUCGUCGGGCUCAUAACCCGAAGGUCGUAGGUUCAAAUCCUGCUCCCGUAA
Molecule: transfer RNA, 74 nt
Filed under: Aliivibrio salmonicida LFI1238
Lineage: Bacteria; Pseudomonadati; Pseudomonadota; Gammaproteobacteria; Vibrionales; Vibrionaceae
Description: transfer RNA-Met
Rfam family: tRNA
About the family: Transfer RNA (tRNA) molecules are approximately 80 nucleotides in length.
Source: RNAcentral